GGAGGGCAGGGGCCCCGGCGAGGUGCUCGGUGAGUGUCCAAGGGACUGUGACAGAACGUGAGUCAAACUGGAGACCACAAAGAUCCUGCUCUUUUUGUCCCUUCGACCCAGAGUCCGUGGCUGAGCGGCCGUGGGACGCAGAGACAAUGGGUGUGAGUUACAGGGUUUAUAGAGGAGGCUUGUUCAAAUCCCAGCUCUGCCUCUUGCCAGCUGCGUGCCUCUGGGAAGCUGCUUAACAUCUCUGAGCCUUCAUGUCCUUAUCUGCGAACGGAGGACAGCAACACCUAUCUUGUUUGACCUGAUACACAGAGAGCUUUUAGCGCGGUGUUUGGUACACAUUCACCUACUUGUAAGAAGUAAGACGUGGUGGAGCCAGCAGUUCUUACCUCACAGGAUUGUGUGAAAAGUGAAGGAGAUCUUGAGUGCUCCCUAAUGUCAACUACGAGUAUUCUCUGGUCAUAUUCUCUUUCAGGAACAGAUCACAUUCUAUGUAUCUUUUCAUUGACUGGUGGAUAUUGAGGCUGUUUGCAGUAUGAUGCGAAUCCAGCAGGGCCCUGAGCCUCCUUUUUGACCUUGUGACAUUGUUAGCUUGUGUUCCCGGCCGUGUGUGUGGCUGUGGACAGUGUUGCCAGAUGUUGAUACGUGAUUCUCCAAAGCAUCACAGAGAAACUUAUUCUUACUCUCCACCCCUCCCUUCCGUUUCAGAAGUAACAUCUGUAAUACAUCCCAGCUCUUCACCCAGCCUGGGAGACCCGGGGCGAGCUGGCCGUCACCCGCCCCUGCCUCUGCUCUCUGCCUUGGCCACUCUGCUCUUGGAACAGCCAACCCCUCUCCAGCCCCUAGACCUUGUGCUGACUGGUCCUCACCCGCGCCGCCCUUCUGGGGCUAUUCUUCCCCGCCCCUGGGCUGGCCGGGACUACUGCCCUGUGCCGCGGCGGCCACCCGAUUUCUAACUUUAUUUUAUUUAAUUAAUUUAUUUAGUUUAUUUUGA
This is a long non-coding RNA of Hyaena hyaena (striped hyena), 991 nucleotides long. RefSeq lists it as uncharacterized. The transcript has 3 exons. NCBI's taxonomy places the organism in Eukaryota, Metazoa, Chordata, Mammalia, Carnivora, Hyaenidae. The record is from RefSeq and is a predicted model, not a curated record.